AUCGUUGUACGCAGCAUUGUAAAAGACGUGAGACAAAUGUACUUAGCGUUGUGCCAAAUCAUCAUUGCAUAUCGUACGCGAAUCACGACUCAUAGUCUAAUGGUAUUUGGACGUCGACAAUUUCUCCAAAUGGUAUAAACGCUGCGUGCAACACCUUCUCGUCGACCUCCUCGGCUAAACCACCUGAAAACAAAUGGGAUCAAAUCAUUAAUCUGAACGAUAGCUUGCCGCGCAAUAUUUCUCGUGCGAUUUCAACGCAACAAACAAGAGCCAGCCUGAUAACAAGCGUGUUGACUGAGGGAUACCGAGGGACGCCGACGCGUUGACA
Molecule: long non-coding RNA, 328 nt
Organism: Temnothorax curvispinosus
Lineage: Eukaryota; Metazoa; Arthropoda; Insecta; Hymenoptera; Formicidae
Exons: 3
Source: RefSeq, a predicted model, not a curated record